Gopherus agassizii (Agassiz's desert tortoise) is the source of this 164-nucleotide small nuclear RNA. Its record names the gene U1. It matches the Rfam family "U1 spliceosomal RNA". From Rfam's summary of the family: U1 is a small nuclear RNA (snRNA) component of the spliceosome (involved in pre-mRNA splicing). Its 5' end forms complementary base pairs with the 5' splice junction, thus defining the 5' donor site of an intron. NCBI's taxonomy places the organism in Eukaryota, Metazoa, Chordata, Testudines, Testudinidae. The record is from Ensembl.
UGUUCUACCUGGCAGGGGAGAUACCAUGAUCACGAAGGCAGUUUUCCCCGAGUGAGGUUCAUCCAUUGCACUGCGGGUGUGCUGACCCCUGCGAUUUCCCCAAACACGGGAAACUCGACUUCAUAAUUUGUGGAAGUGGGGGACUGUGUUUGCGCUCUCCCCUA